This is a long non-coding RNA of Hibiscus syriacus, 212 nucleotides long. RefSeq lists it as uncharacterized. The transcript is spliced from 3 exons. The record is from RefSeq and is a predicted model, not a curated record. NCBI's taxonomy places the organism in Eukaryota, Viridiplantae, Streptophyta, Magnoliopsida, Malvales, Malvaceae.
GCACACUCAACCUCGGCUGUGGGAAUGGGAGUCCUUCACCGCCGGCGGCACCGCCGGCCACGUUUAAUUUGUCGGACCCUUGUACCUUGACUUGGUGCGGUGAUGGGAGCUGUAAAACAAACGAGAGUGGCUAUGAAUGCAACUGUAACGAUGGCUCUGAUAAUCUGCUCGAUAUGCCCGCCUUACCCUGCUUCAAUGAAUGUGCUUUAGGA